UUGUAACACGGGGAUUGGCUUAGAGUUCUAAAAUUUCUUUUUAAUUGCUUUCAGUAUGGAGGUUGUGAUUUCCAAGUCGUACAACCGUCUGCUAUGGCUUCCUUGAGAUGAAGCAUGACUUGCUGCAAAUGGAACAUACAGCUCUAAUGGAAUCCGAAGAUAUGUAGCUGUAGAGGUGAAGUCUCUGUGAGAGUGGUAAGAUAUCAUUUAAAGCGUUUGGCAAUCUGGCUCGGCAAGAUCAGCUUGGCAUCCCAGACAGUAAAGAGCUUAAUAGAAUGAAGGAAGAAAAGCUGAAUGAUGCAGUAUGGAGGUUGUGAUUUCCAAGUUGUAGAGCUGUCUACUGUGGCUUCCUUGAGAUAAACAUGACUUGCUGCAAGUGGAAAUUGAAAGUUUUAGAAAAGUUUUGAAACAUUAGCAAGGCUCAACAAUGAUUAGGGAAGUGAAAUUUUUUUGUAAGGUCCCUUUGCUUAAGUCGAGAAAGGAAAGUUGUUGAAUCUUUAUGUGGUAGUUAUUCUUAUGUUGGAUUGAACAUCAGGCGUAUGGACGCUUCUUAUGUUGGUAAACAUAUUUAUGAUAUGGUAGGUCCCUUUUAGCGCUAUAAUAAGCUGGGUAGAAAUCUAUCAUUUUAAGCUAUUUUAUUUUUAAGUCCCCCACCUAGGGCCCCCUUUC
Long non-coding RNA from Solanum tuberosum (potato), 669 nucleotides. RefSeq lists it as uncharacterized. Lineage: Eukaryota; Viridiplantae; Streptophyta; Magnoliopsida; Solanales; Solanaceae. The record is from RefSeq and is a predicted model, not a curated record. The transcript has 3 exons.